RNAcentral lists this ribosomal RNA (225 nucleotides) under uncultured bacterium. RNAcentral's name for it is "partial 16S ribosomal RNA". It matches the Rfam family "Bacterial small subunit ribosomal RNA", at positions 109 to 334 of the family's 1533-position model. The record is from RNAcentral.
AGUAACGCGUGGGUAACCUGCCUCAUACAGGGGGAUAACGAUUGGAAACGAUUGCUAAUACCGCAUAAGCGCACAGUACCACAUGGUACAGUGUGAAAAACUCUGGUGGUAUGAGAUGGACCCGCGUCUGAUUAGUUAGUUGGUGAGGUAACGGCCCACCAAGGCAACGAUCAGUAGCCGACCUGAGAGGGUGACCGGCCACAUUGGGACUGAGACACGGCCCAG